Molecule: ribosomal RNA, 268 nt
Filed under: uncultured Anaerovorax sp.
Lineage: Bacteria; Bacillati; Bacillota; Clostridia; Peptostreptococcales; Anaerovoracaceae
Description: partial 16S ribosomal RNA
Rfam family: Bacterial small subunit ribosomal RNA
Source: RNAcentral
UUCGGGGGAAUGAAGAGAUGGAGAGCGGCGGACGGGUGAGUAACGCGUAGGCAACCUGCCCUUUGCAGAGGGAUAGCCACUGGAAACGGUGAUUAAAACCUCAUAAUGCUAAGAUGUCACAUGGCAAUUUAGUCAAAGAUUCAUCGGCAAAGGAUGGGCCUGCGUCUGAUUAGAUAGUUGGUGAGGUAACGGCUCACCAAGUCAACGAUCAGUAGCCGACCUGAGAGGGUAAUCGGCCACAUUGGAACUGAGACACGGUCCAAACUCC